Molecule: ribosomal RNA, 510 nt
Filed under: uncultured bacterium
Lineage: Bacteria
Description: partial 16S ribosomal RNA
Rfam family: Bacterial small subunit ribosomal RNA
Source: RNAcentral
GACGAACGCUGGCGGCGUGCUUAACACAUGCAAGCCGAACGAAGAGCGACGGAAGCUUGCUUCUAUCAAUCUUAGUGGCGAACGGGUGAGUAACGCGUAAUCAACCUGCCCUUCAGAGGGGGACAACAGUUGGAAACGACUGCUAAUACCGCAUACGAUCUAACCUCGGCAUCGAGGAUAGAUGAAAGGUGGCCUCUACAUGUAAGCUAUCACUGAAGGAGGGGAUUGCGUCUGAUUAGCUAGUUGGAGGGGUAACGGCCCACCAAGGCGAUGAUCAGUAGCCGGUCUGAGAGGAUGAACGGCCACAUUGGGACUGAGACACGGCCCAGACUCCUACGGGAGGCAGCAGUGGGGAAUCUUCCGCAAUGGACGAAAGUCUGACGGAGCAACGCCGCGUGAGUGAUGACGGCCUUCGGGUUGUAAAGCUCUGUUAAUCGGGACGAAAGGCCUUCUUGCGAAUAGUGAGAAGGAUUGACGGUACCGGAAUAGAAAGCCACGGCUAACUACGUG